Long non-coding RNA from Ictalurus punctatus (channel catfish), 589 nucleotides. NCBI's taxonomy places the organism in Eukaryota, Metazoa, Chordata, Actinopteri, Siluriformes, Ictaluridae. The record is from Ensembl.
CUCAGCUGAUCACACCACCCUCUGGAGAGCCGUCUAUCCUGCUUGGUGUUUCUCCUGAACCAGGCUGUGAUGCGUCCCAUCAGGAUGCUCUCGAUGGUGCAAAAGUUCCUUAGCACCUUAGACACCUGAUUAAAGUCCCUUAAGCAUUUAAGGUAGUAUAGAUGCUGCCAGGCCUUCUUCACCAGAGUGUUCAUGGGACAGGACCAGGACCGGUCCUGCAUGAUCUGAACACCAAGGGACCGGAUACUGUCCACUCUCUCCACUGGGGUCCCGUUGAUCAUAAGGGCUGGUAGCUCCUCUGCUGCUUCAUGAGUCCACCAUCAACUCCUCGGUCAGAGCUGGAAGUGUCCACACCGUCAGAGGUGGAAGUGUCCACACAGGCAGAGCUGGAAGUGUCCACACAGUCAGAGCUGGAAGUGUCCACACAGUCAGAGGUGGAAGUGUACAGUGAGUACCUCAGGAGGCUCGGGACACGACCUGGGGGCUUCAUUGCUGAGGGUGAGACAUGUCUGACCACCUGUCUGUUAGGAAGGUGAAGAUCCACUGACACAGGGACGGGUUAAGUCGCAGGUCCUCCUACUUGGUGGCG